Molecule: ribosomal RNA, 465 nt
Filed under: uncultured bacterium
Lineage: Bacteria
Description: partial 16S ribosomal RNA
Rfam family: Bacterial small subunit ribosomal RNA
Source: RNAcentral
GACGAACGCUGGCGGCGUGCUUAACACAUGCAAGUCGAACGGAAAGGCCCCUUUGGGGGUACUCGAGUGGCGAACGGGUGAGUAACACGUGAGUAACCUGCCCUUGACUUCGGGAUAACUUCAGGAAACUGGGGCUAAUACCGGAUAGGAAUCCUUGCUGCAUGGUGGGGGUUGGAAAGCUUCGGCGGUUUUGGAUGGACUCGCGGCUUAUCAGCUUGUUGGUGGGGUAGUGGCUUACCAAGGCUUUGACGGGUAGCCGGCCUGAGAGGGCGACCGGCCACAUUGGGACUGAGAUACGGCCCAGACUCCUACGGGAGGCAGCAGUGGGGAAUAUUGCACAAUGGGCGGAAGCCUGAUGCAGCAACGCCGCGUGCGGAAUGACGGCCUUCGGGUUGUAAACCGCUUUCAGCAGGGGCGAAGCUUGUGGUGACGGUACCUGCAGAAGAAGCACCGGCUAACUACGUG